This 77-nucleotide transfer RNA is filed under the name Thermoleophilia bacterium. RNAcentral describes it as "tRNA-Arg". It matches the Rfam family "tRNA". From Rfam's summary of the family: Transfer RNA (tRNA) molecules are approximately 80 nucleotides in length. Their secondary structure includes four short double-helical elements and three loops (D, anti-codon, and T loops). Lineage: Bacteria; Bacillati; Actinomycetota; Thermoleophilia. The record is from RNAcentral. RNAcentral also lists the same sequence under 1 other name.
GCGCCCGUAGCUCAGCUGGAUAGAGCGUUGGACUACGAAUCCAAAGGUCACAGGUUCGAAUCCUGUCGGGCGCACCA